This 434-nucleotide ribosomal RNA is filed under the name uncultured Blautia sp. RNAcentral's name for it is "partial 16S ribosomal RNA". It matches the Rfam family "Bacterial small subunit ribosomal RNA", at positions 341 to 792 of the family's 1533-position model. Lineage: Bacteria; Bacillati; Bacillota; Clostridia; Lachnospirales; Lachnospiraceae. The record is from RNAcentral.
ACGGGAGGCAGCAGUGGGGAAUAUUGCACAAUGGGGGAAACCCUGAUGCAGCGACGCCGCGUGAAGGAAGAAGUAUCUCGGUAUGUAAACUUCUAUCAGCAGGGAAGAUGAUGACAGUACCUGACUAAGAAGCCCCGGCUAACUACGUGCCAGCAGCCGCGGUAAUACGUAGGGGGCAAGCGUUAUCCGGAUUUACUGGGUGUAAAGGGAGCGUAGACGGCAUGGCAAGUCUGAAGUGAAAGCUCGGGGCUCAACCCCGGAACUGCUUUGGAAACUGUCAGGCUAGAGUACCGGAGGGGUAAGCGGAAUUCCUAGUGUAGCGGUGAAAUGCGUAGAUAUUAGGAGGAACACCAGUGGCGAAGGCGGCUUACUGGACGGUAACUGACGUUGAGGCUCGAAAGCGUGGGGAGCAAACAGGAUUAGAUACCCUGGUA